AGAUAGUGAGCUUGAAUAAGUUUAUACUUUGAAAGUAUAUUAUAGAGGUAAAAUUUUCUAUUAUCUU
This 67-nucleotide transfer RNA is filed under the name Mirax sp. QL-2014. RNAcentral's name for it is "tRNA-Ser". Lineage: Eukaryota; Metazoa; Arthropoda; Insecta; Hymenoptera; Braconidae. The record is from RNAcentral.